RNAcentral lists this ribosomal RNA (467 nucleotides) under Eupalaestrus campestratus. RNAcentral's name for it is "partial 16S ribosomal RNA". It matches the Rfam family "Bacterial large subunit ribosomal RNA", at positions 1797 to 2619 of the family's 2925-position model. The record is from RNAcentral. Lineage: Eukaryota; Metazoa; Arthropoda; Arachnida; Araneae; Theraphosidae.
CGCCUGUUUAACAAAAACAUUUCUAAUUGCUUCAAAAUUAGUAAAACCUGCACAAUGAUCACUUAAAUAGCCGCUAACGUGCUAAGGUAGCACAAUAAAUAGCCUAAUAAUUAUAGGAUGGUAUGAAAGGUUUAACAUGGAAUUUUCUUUAUUAUUAUAACUAAUCGAAAUUAUCACGAAAGUAAAAAGACUUUCAUUUGCUAAGAGGGACGACAAGACCCUGUCGAGCUUCACUUAUGUUUGGCUGGGGCGGCAAAAAACUAUAUCUUUAUUUUCAAAACACAUUACAAUCCUUUUUAUGAUAUAUUAAGCUACCGCAGGGAUAACAGCAUAAUUUUUUUUAAGAGACCUUAUCAAAAAAAAAGAUUGUGACCUCGAUGUUGAAUUAAACAUCUUCUUAAAGCAAAAAUUAAGAAUAGAAAGUCUGUUCGACUUUUAAAAAUUUACGUGAUCUGAGUUCAGACCGG